UUUGUUGCCAAUUUUUAUCCAAAAUUUUUAGGGCACAAAUAUUUUCCUUUCAACACUAAACACCUUUUCCACACUUUUCUUUCAUUUUUACAGAGUGAGAGAGUGAGGAGAACCUCUCGUCACUCACACAGAGGGAAACCUUUGAUCGCUCCCCACCCGCCUAUCCACCCACGUGCUCAUAAAAUAUUCUGUGAAGGAAGAAGGUGUGUUUAGUGAAGUGAAGAAGUAUCAGAGACAUAAUUAUUUCAUUGUUGCUGAAAAUUAGCAGUUGCUACUUGGACGCUACUUCAUCAUUGCUAGAAAUUUGUCGCUGCUGCUUGGAAGCUGCUUCAGUAUUGUUGGCUUAUUAAACACUCAAAAUUCGUAUUUCUUUGCAAAUCAAAAGAUAAUUUUUUCUACUUUUUAAUUUUCUUCACAAAUUUAGUGUUUUAUUUAUAGAUUUGGCUGAAUCUCAAGAAAAUUCAAGGUAAAGUCUUUGAGAUUUGUUUAGCUAAAGUAUUUGAACUCAAGUAAAUCUACUUUAUUUAUAGAUUAGGUUGUAUCUCUAUUGUAUAUACUUUUAUGUUGAUAUUUAUUUUCUGUUUGUA
Molecule: long non-coding RNA, 587 nt
Organism: Solanum dulcamara
Lineage: Eukaryota; Viridiplantae; Streptophyta; Magnoliopsida; Solanales; Solanaceae
Exons: 2
Source: RefSeq, a predicted model, not a curated record